RNAcentral lists this ribosomal RNA (492 nucleotides) under uncultured bacterium. Its description in RNAcentral is "partial 16S ribosomal RNA". It matches the Rfam family "Bacterial small subunit ribosomal RNA", at positions 29 to 507 of the family's 1533-position model. The record is from RNAcentral.
AGUGAACGCUGGCGGUAGGCCUAACACAUGCAAGUCGAACGGCAGCACAGUAAGCGCUUGCUCUUACGGGUGGCGAGUGGCGGACGGGUGAGGCAUACAUCGGAAUCUACUUUUUCGUGGGGGAUAACGUAGGGAAACUUACGCUAAUACCGCAUACGACCUACGGGUGAAAGCAGGGGAUCUUCGGACCUUGCGCGAUUGAAUGAGCCGAUGUCGGAUUAGCUAGUUGGCGGGGUAAAGGCCCACCAAGGCGACGAUCCGUAGCUGGUCUGAGAGGAUGAUCAGCCACACUGGAACUGAGACACGGUCCAGACUCCUACGGGAGGCAGCAGUGGGGAAUAUUGGACAAUGGGCGCAAGCCUGAUCCAGCCAUACCGCGUGAGUGAAGAAGGCCUUCGGGUUGUAAAGCCCUGUUGUUGGGAAAGAAAAGCAGCAGGUUAAUACCCCGCUGUUCUGACGGUACCCAAAGAAUAAGCACCGGCUAACUUCGUG